RNAcentral lists this long non-coding RNA (1000 nucleotides) under Nicotiana benthamiana. Its description in RNAcentral is "long non-coding RNA (NBEN_LNC037965)". The record is from RNAcentral. Lineage: Eukaryota; Viridiplantae; Streptophyta; Magnoliopsida; Solanales; Solanaceae.
AACAAUCAUUUUACGUCUCCAGCCCCCAUAACCACUACCCGAGAAGGGAGUGGGAACGAGAGAUACCCCAGGGACAUCAAAAGAAUAUAUAUAAAAGGGGACUGGAAGAGUCUACAGAAGGGGAGGCAUCAGUAUUUGUGUUAGAAGCCAUAGUCAAUGAACUGGCUUAAAAGAACAACUUUUCAACAAACAGAUUAUAACCAAAUCAAGUAUUCACACACAAUAACCAACAAACAGAUAUAACCAAAUCAGGUAUUCACAGACAACACCAGAUGCUCACAUACACAGAGUCAGAUAAUCAUACGCUAAAUUUUAUUAUAACGCUAUUCACCCCCCCUCUAGCGUUAAGCGUAUUUUCUAACAAGUAUAACCAAAUCAGGUAUUCAUAGACAACACUAGAUGCUCACAUAUACACAGUCAAAUAAUCACAUACAAUACCGAAGAUAAGGACAGAGUUACCCUCCUUCUUCGCGACCGCAGAAGAUCGGCCUUCAAACAACAGAGAAACCCUAGGUGUAACCUUGGAAAUCGUUACUGGAAAUGUAGUCAGGAACGUCUUAGAGGCACCCAAAACAUCCACUGAGUGAGAAUCGAGCCACCGGAAAGCAGUAGAACCCUAGGUUAAGCCACCAGAAACCCUAGAAGCCGAUAGGUCACCGAGAAACCACCCAAAAUCAGCAGAAAACCACUCAGAAUGUCGGGUGAAGAAAAUAUACUCAAAUAUCAUGAUGAAAAACUCGGAAAAGCAUCCGAUCUAGGUCAAAGCCAUCAUCGACCAUAAGGUCUCAGAAAAAGCCCUAGAAAAUCUCCAAAAGAGUUCAACCAAGACAACGAGAAGUAGAGAAACAUAAUCGGAUCGUCGUCUAGGCUCUCUUACCAUGUAAACAUUGAUAUUAGACCGAGAAAUCAUAGAAAAUAUAGAGAGAGAAGGUAGAGAGAAGUCAGAGCAUUUCGGAACUCUGGAAGAUGAGAGAUGUUAUUACAGAGAAAAGAAAGAAAA